CCGAGUUGACAAACUCCCAAACCCCUGUGAACGUACCUAAUCCGUUGCCUUCGGCGGGCCGGCCCCGGGUCUCCCCGGGCGCCCUGGACCCAUCGCGGGCGCCCGCCGGAGGACCCCUAAACUCCUUGAUUCCACGUGUAUGGCUCUCUGAGUACUACUAAGCAAUAAAGUCA
RNAcentral lists this unclassified non-coding RNA (173 nucleotides) under soil metagenome. RNAcentral describes it as "partial internal transcribed spacer 1". The record is from RNAcentral.